UACGUAGGGUGCGAGCGUUGUCCGGAAUUAUUGGGCGUAAAGGGCUCGUAGGCGGUUCGUCACGUCGGGAGUGAAAACUCGGGGCUUAACCCCGAGCCUGCUUCCGAUACGGGCAGACUAGAGGUAGGCAGGGGAGAGCGGAACUCCUGGUGUAGCGGUGGAAUGCGCAGAUAUCAGGAAGAACACCGGUGGCGAAGGCGGCUCUCUGGGCCUUACCUGACGCUGAGGAGCGAAAGCGUGGGUAGCGAACAGG
Molecule: ribosomal RNA, 253 nt
Filed under: uncultured bacterium
Lineage: Bacteria
Description: partial 16S ribosomal RNA
Rfam family: Bacterial small subunit ribosomal RNA
Source: RNAcentral